RNAcentral lists this ribosomal RNA (271 nucleotides) under uncultured bacterium. RNAcentral describes it as "partial 16S ribosomal RNA". It matches the Rfam family "Bacterial small subunit ribosomal RNA", at positions 91 to 354 of the family's 1533-position model. The record is from RNAcentral.
CCGGGACGCACCGGGGUGAGUAACACGUGAGUGACCUGCCUUUUAGACUGGAACAACUUACCGAAAGGUGAGCUAAUGCCGGAUGAGUUAUAUAAGUGCAUGGUUUAUAUAGGAAAAGUUGGGGAGACCUGACGCUGAAAGAUGGACUCGCGUCCCAUUAGCUAGUUGGUAGGGUAAUGGCCUACCAAGGCGACGAUGGGUAGCCGGCCUGAGAGGGUGGCCGGCCACACUGGGACUGAGACACGGCCCAAACUCCUACGGAAGGCAGCAG